UCCCUGGUGGCUUAGAGGUUAAAGUGUCUGCCUCCAAUGCAGGAGACCCGGGUUCGAUCCCUGGGUCGGGAA
This 72-nucleotide transfer RNA is filed under the name Bos indicus (zebu cattle). It matches the Rfam family "tRNA". From Rfam's summary of the family: Transfer RNA (tRNA) molecules are approximately 80 nucleotides in length. Lineage: Eukaryota; Metazoa; Chordata; Mammalia; Artiodactyla; Bovidae. The record is from Rfam by way of RNAcentral. RNAcentral also lists the same sequence under 1 other name.